GAUGAACGCUGGCGGCGUGCCUAAUACAUGCCAGUCGAGCGAACAGAUAAGGAGCUUGCUCCUUUGACGUUAGCGGCGGACGGGUGAGUAACACGUGGGUAACCUAUCUAUAAGACUGGAAUAACUCCGGGAAACCGGGGCUAAUGCCGGAUAACAUGUUGAACCGCAUGGUUCUACAGUGAAAGGCGGCUUUGCUGUCACUUAUAGAUGGACCCGCGCCGUAUUAGCUAGUUGGUGAGGUAACGGCUCACCAAGGCAACGAUGCGUAGCCGACCUGAGAGGGUGAUCGGCCACACUGGAACUGAGACACGGUCCAGACUCCUACGGGAGGCAGCAGUAGGGAAUCUUCCGCAAUGGGCGAAAGCCUGACGGAGCAACGCCGCGUGAGUGAUGAAGGUCUUCGGAUCGUAAAACUCUGUUAUUAGGGAAGAACAAAUGCGUAAGUAACUGUGCGCGUCUUGACGGUACCUAAUCAGAAAGCCACGGCUAACUACGUG
RNAcentral lists this ribosomal RNA (497 nucleotides) under uncultured bacterium. Its description in RNAcentral is "partial 16S ribosomal RNA". It matches the Rfam family "Bacterial small subunit ribosomal RNA", at positions 28 to 507 of the family's 1533-position model. The record is from RNAcentral.